Molecule: small nuclear RNA, 109 nt
Organism: Echinops telfairi (small Madagascar hedgehog)
Lineage: Eukaryota; Metazoa; Chordata; Mammalia; Afrosoricida; Tenrecidae
Source: Ensembl
GUGCUCGCUUCGGCAGCACAUUACUAACAUUGGAACUAUACAGAGAAGAUUGUUAGCAUAGCCCCUGCGCAAGGAUGAUGCGCAAAUUCGUGAUGCAUUCCAUAUUUUU